Xiphophorus hellerii (green swordtail) is the source of this 340-nucleotide long non-coding RNA. RefSeq lists it as uncharacterized. The transcript has 2 exons. The record is from RefSeq and is a predicted model, not a curated record. NCBI's taxonomy places the organism in Eukaryota, Metazoa, Chordata, Actinopteri, Cyprinodontiformes, Poeciliidae.
AAUGCUCCGCUUUCACAGCAGGGAGCUGCUGCAGCUUUGAACCGCCCACUGCAUUUCUCUCCAAGACUGCGGGGCGAUCCGCGGCGGCUCAGGGUUUAUUUUUAGCUGGGCGGGAAGCGGGCCGCUCCCAACCCGCUGCACGAAGCUGCAGGCUGACCGCCGUGGCGCGGGGGAAGAAAUGUUUCCAAUUAGUCUGAGACGGACGAUCAAGAAACCAGAAGGAGCCGAGAGGAAUGACAGAAUAACCAACGCUCGUUUCCAUCAUGGCCGCCUGCGGCAUCGUCAUGGAAACGAUUAUGGCUGAAAGGAAGAAAACUAAAACCUGGAACAAAAACAUGAA